This 55-nucleotide transfer RNA is filed under the name Bos taurus (domestic cattle). RNAcentral also lists the same sequence under 1 other name. The record is from Rfam by way of RNAcentral. Lineage: Eukaryota; Metazoa; Chordata; Mammalia; Artiodactyla; Bovidae.
GCCUCAGUGGUGAAGAAUCUGCCUGCCAAGCAGACGACUCAGGUUCAAUUCCUGA